AGGGGGUUACCCGCUGAACUUUAGCAUUUCUAUAUGCGGAGGAAAAGAAACUAACAAGGAUUCCCCUAGUAACGGCGAGUGAAGCGGGAAAAGCUCAAAUUUAAAAUCUGGCAAUCUUUGGUUGUCCGAAUUGUAAUCUAGAGAAGCGUUUUCCGUGCUGGACUGUGUGCAAGUUUCCUGGAUACGGAACAUCAUAGAGGGUGAGAAUCCCGUCCUUCACACAGACCCCCAGUGCUUUGUGAUGCGCUCUCGACGAGUCGAGUUGUUUGGGAUUGCAGCUCAAAAUGGGAGGUAAAUUCCUUCUAAAGCUAAAUAUUGGCGAGAGACCGAUAGCGAACAAGUACCGUGAGGGAAAGAUGAAAAGCACUUUGGAAAGAGAGUUAAACAGUACGUGAAAUUGUUAAAAGGGAAACGCUUGAAGUCAGUCAUGUUUGCUUGGACUCAACCUAACCUCGGUUUGGUGCAUUUCCUUGCAGACGGGCCAGCGUUCAUGUUGUUUUCCAGAGAAGGAGCGAGAGAAUGUGACUCCCUUGGGAGUGUUAUAGCUCUCACUCGCAUGUGGGGAAUGAUAUGGAGUGGUACAGCACGCUUUGGUGGUGCUUGUGCUGGCAUAAUGGCUUUAAACGACCCGUCUUGAAACACGGACCAAGGAGUCUAACAUGUCUGCGAGUGUUUGGGUGGAAAACCCGAGCGCGCAAUGAAAGUGAUGGCUGGGAACCCCUUUUUGGGAAGCACCGGCGCCCCGAGCUGACCUUCUGUGACGCAUCGGAGGCAGAGCAUAUAUCUUGGGACCCGAAAGAUGGUGAACUAUGCCUGAAUAGGGCGAAGCCAGAGGAAACUCUGGUGGAGGCUCGUAGCGAUUCUGACGUGCAAAUCGAUCGUCAAAUUUGGGUAUAGGGGCGAAAGACUAAUCGAACCAUCNAGGUUAUCUGGUUCCUGCCGAUUUUCCCCC
Molecule: ribosomal RNA, 952 nt
Filed under: Clavulina incrustata
Lineage: Eukaryota; Fungi; Basidiomycota; Agaricomycetes; Cantharellales; Hydnaceae
Description: partial large subunit ribosomal RNA
Rfam family: Eukaryotic large subunit ribosomal RNA
Source: RNAcentral